UGAAACAAUCAAAACAAGGUAGUUUUGUGCACAAUGCAGGAGCUGUGUAACCCAUGAUCAUAGGAUACUGUGGAUGAUAAAAUUUACACAGCUUCAGGGAGAGUUGAACCACAUGAAUUCAUGGAGGAAAAAUCCAUCUUGAGUUGUACUACUGGCAGUAUCUUGCUCAUGUGGACAGUGAAGAAAAUCUAAGAACUGGGGUACUUGUACUCUCCUUAAGCUGCUCCCAGCAAAGUGAGUUCCUGGCAAAGAAAACCACCAGGAAGAUGAGCAGUCAAGCCUGCUGGCUGUUGAAAGUGCAAAUUACUCAAAAUGGAACAGCAGCCCAGAAGACAAUACUGGCCUUCACGCGUUUUCCAGUCUGCUGUCAGUGACUUCAGUGCAUCCCCUCAGAGAUGUGUAGCAGGUGCCACAGGAAAGCAGCAGAUCAUGCAGAGCAAGAAGCUUAUGAGCCAAUGAGGAAUUUUGACACAAAAUAGUGCAUUUUGGAGAAGUGAUUUGGCCACUCAGGGUCUUGCAAACAUUUAUUCUGCAUGAUGCUGCCUUCCUUAGCAGGACUGUGUGAUGUGAAGAAUGGGUGUGCCCAAGGACCUGCAUAAUCCCCUGGUAAUUUAUGCAGAAGCAGGGGCUGGCUUGUCCAUUCCAGUGAGA
Pezoporus flaviventris is the source of this 651-nucleotide long non-coding RNA. RefSeq lists it as uncharacterized. The record is from RefSeq and is a predicted model, not a curated record. NCBI's taxonomy places the organism in Eukaryota, Metazoa, Chordata, Aves, Psittaciformes, Psittacidae. The transcript has 4 exons.